GGGAGCGGAUCGUCGCUGGUGUGGCGCACGGCCUUCAAAGCCGUUGGGGUGCGUGUACAGCGCGCUCGGUGGGUUCGAUUCCCAUGCGCUCCCGCCA
RNAcentral lists this transfer RNA (97 nucleotides) under Planctomycetota bacterium. RNAcentral describes it as "Planctomycetes bacterium (bioreactor metagenome) tRNA-Sec". It matches the Rfam family "Selenocysteine transfer RNA". The record is from RNAcentral. Lineage: Bacteria; Pseudomonadati; Planctomycetota.